Molecule: ribosomal RNA, 460 nt
Filed under: uncultured bacterium
Lineage: Bacteria
Description: partial 16S ribosomal RNA
Rfam family: Bacterial small subunit ribosomal RNA
Source: RNAcentral
CCUACGGGUGGCUGCAGUGAGGAAUAUUGGUCAAUGGGCGGAAGCCUGAACCAGCCAAGUAGCGUGCAGGAUGACGGCCCUACGGGUUGUAAACUGCUUCUAUACGGGAAUAACGCGCCUUAUGUGUAGGGUUUUGUAUGUACCGUAUGAAUAAGGACCGGCUAAUUCCGUGCCAGCAGCCGCGGUAAUACGGAGGGUCCGGGGGUUACCCGGAUUUAUUGGGCUUAACGGGAGCGUAGGCCGCAUGUCAAGCGUGCUGUGAAAUGUCCGGGCGCAACCCGGGCCUUGCAGCGCGGACUGGCUAGCUUGAGUCCGCGGAAGGCAGGCAGAAUUCGUCGUGUAGCGGUGAAAUGCUUAGAUAUGUCGAAGAACCCCGGUUGCGAAGGCAGCUUGCUGCAGCGGAACUGACGCUGAUGCUCGAAAGCGCGGGUAUCGAACAGGAUUAGAUACCCCUGUAGUC